AGUGAACGCUGGCGGUAGGCCUAACACAUGCAAGUCGAACGGCAGCACCGUAAGAGCUUGCUCUUACGGGCGGCGAGUGGCGGACGGGUGAGGUAUACAUCGGAAUCUACUUUUUCGUGGCGGAUAACGUAGGGAAACUUCCGCUAAUAUCGCCUUCGACCUACGGGGGAAAGCAGGGGCUCUUCGGACCUUGCGCGAUCGCAUGAGCCGAUGUCGGAUUAGCUAGUUGGCGGGGUAAAGGCCCACCAAGGCGACGAUCCGUAGCUGGGCUGAGAGGGUGAACAGCCACACUGGGGCUGAGACGCGGUCCAGACACCUACGGGAGGCAGAAGUGGGGAAUAGAGGAAGAAGGGCGCAAGCCUGAUCCAGCCGUACCGCGUGGGUGAAGAAGGCCUUCGGGUUGUAAAGCGCUUUUGUUGGUAAAGAAAGGCAGCAGGAUAAUACCCCGCUGUUCUGACGGUACCCAAAGAAGAAGCACCGGCUAACUUCGUG
Molecule: ribosomal RNA, 492 nt
Filed under: uncultured bacterium
Lineage: Bacteria
Description: partial 16S ribosomal RNA
Rfam family: Bacterial small subunit ribosomal RNA
Source: RNAcentral